RNAcentral lists this ribosomal RNA (478 nucleotides) under uncultured bacterium. RNAcentral's name for it is "bacterial SSU rRNA". It matches the Rfam family "Bacterial small subunit ribosomal RNA", at positions 28 to 507 of the family's 1533-position model. The record is from RNAcentral.
GAUGAACGCUAGCGGCAGGCUUAACACAUGCAAGUCGAGGGGUAUAGGUCUUCGGACCUAGAGACCGGCGCACGGGUGCGUAACGCGUAUGCAAUCUACCUUUUACAGAGGGAUAGCCCAGAGAAAUUUGGAUUAAUACCUCAUAGUAUAUAGACUUCGCAUGGAGAUUAUAUUAAAGUUACAACGGUAAAAGAUGAGCAUGCGUCCCAUUAGCUAGUUGGUAAGGUAACGGCUUACCAAGGCGACGAUGGGUAGGGGUCCUGAGAGGGAGAUCCCCCACACUGGUACUGAGACACGGACCAGACUCCUACGGGAGGCAGCAGUGAGGAAUAUUGGACAAUGGGCGCAAGCCUGAUCCAGCCAUGCCGCGUGCAGGAUGAAGCAUCUAUGGUGUGUAAACUGCUUUUGUACAGGAAGAAACCCUGGCUCGUGAGCCAGAUUGACGGUACUGUAAGAAUAAGGAUCGGCUAACUCCGUG